UAAGUAAUGAGAUGAAAGAAAAAAGAUUUCUCAACCGGAUCGGGCCGUACAAACGGUGGUACUCCGGCGAGCUCUUCUCACGAAGCAAUUUCCAUUCGCUUCCAAAGAGUUGACUUGAUGGUUUAAUUUCAGGCCGCCUGUCCUUCGAUGGAAACACGCAAGUACUCAGAUAAGGAUUUACGGAUGUGAACUUGAUUCGUCUUCCCAGAGGAAGCUAGUUUGGUGAAGUUGGAUGAUGUGGAGCGAUGAAGUUCAUCACUAGCCCACAUGGGGAAUAUGAGUAAGCUGGUUAUAAUGCAGACAGAAAAACCCAUCCCAAUAUUAGUGAGACGUUCACGUGCUAAUUCCAAGAUCUUAUCAGCACGCAAACCAGACACAGCUACCAGAUUAAAGUACUGGUGGAUAAAAUUGGUGGUGUUUUAAAAAGGUGGACACGUGGAAUUUUACUAUCUAAAGAAAAUCAUGUAUGUAAGCUUUUAACGCUUUCUGUUUCUUAGGUUUAAUAUCAUGAGCCUCUUCAAAGAUAUUAGAUUGUUAUUUUAAUUCUAUAUGCAAUAAAGUUUAACACAUUAAUCAUUUAUGAUAUAUAUUUUUAAAAUGGACAAAAGACCAUUGGCAAGCUGGCCCGGCCCGACCCAUACUAAAACAACUUUUGACCCACCCAUUUCCCCAUCUUUACUUUUCGUAAGUGGUUAUUAACUAUUUUGUUGAAGAUAAAAAGGAUGCUUUUCUUCCUAUCAAAUCCAAUGGGCCCAUAAUUUGGUAUUUGUCUGCUGUGGCCUAAAAUUCAACAUAAUGUAUGCUAAUCACCAUGAACUAACUGGCUGUGUUCAGAUCACUAAUCAUGCACCUACACAGCAUAACCAUUUUGGAACAAAAAAAAAAAAAUCGUUUUUUACAUGGUUAACCAAUUUUCCUAUGUAUAUUUUUUUUUCUUUCGUUCCAUCAUUUGGGUCUCAUACAUCGGUCAUUAUCUCAUUCUAAUGCAUAUCAAAUAUGAACAUAUUGUCAUGCUGUGUCUAGGAAAUGGGCCCAAAACUGUGUACUGUGUUGACAUAAUAAGAGACUGGUUUUAUAUGCAAUUGGUUGUUUUGAUAGUGUAAAACCUUUCUAAGAAAAACCACCUACCUACCUAAUCAGUAAUCACAAUAUCACAAUGCUCAUAAUAAUGGAGAGUCCACUAAAAAAAUUUCCAUUUAUUGUUGGUGGCAUAAGUCAUAAGAUAUGGAGAUGGGAUUUAUCAUUUAUGGUGGAGGAUGAGUUGCUCAUCUCAUCCUUUCUGUCCAAAACCCUAACCCUACCUUAAUCUCUUAGGUUUUAGUCCUCUAGUUGGCCCUACAUGUGUGCGUUUUUUUUUCGGAUGAUUUGAUUUGCUAAUUGUUAUUACUUUUGUGGCUGUGUGUUCUGUUUAGGGUUAAUUGUUAAUAGACAUCAUCGAUUUAACUAUUUAUAUUUUUAAUGGGUAUUUCAAGUAUUUGAUCAUAAGUCCAAAAAAAAAAUUGAAUUAUAUGUCGAGUGUUGGUGUGUUUUAUUUAGGGUUAUUUGCAAGAAAGCUGAGUUUUUAUGGUUUUACACUUAUUGUAAAUUUUACUAAAUUUACCCUGUAAUUUUGAUAUGAAUUCUUAAUUUGGUAUAUUUUUAAUCCUUUUUACCGGUUUCUCGGUUUCCUUAAGAUGAAACUCACAAGAAUAUCCUUAAGUUUGUAGUUCUUUUUGCAGUUUUACCUAAAGUUUAUUAUUAUUAUUAUUAUUUUAAUUUAUUUUUAUCGCCAAUUUUACCCAAUAGAUUUCAUAUAACUUGUUAAUUUCUCAUUCACCUCUUUCUCUGCUCAUGUUCACUUGGCAUUUUUUUGUUGACAUUGUAUGUAAAUAAACGCCUUACUUGUCAACCAAACAACAUUUUUGUAAUUAACGUUACUUUAAUUACAAAAAUGUGUAUAAUUAUUGCAAUUGCCAAGACGUAGCUAUCUAUGCCUACACUUGUGAAUAGUUUGUUAGAGAAAGCAUUGUAAGAUGUACACAUUUGUUUCGACUUUUGAUAUGUAUGCAUGAAUUUCAUUAAUUUAAUAUGGUUUUUGGGAGUUAUUAUUUA
Molecule: long non-coding RNA, 2091 nt
Organism: Lactuca sativa (garden lettuce)
Lineage: Eukaryota; Viridiplantae; Streptophyta; Magnoliopsida; Asterales; Asteraceae
Source: RefSeq, a predicted model, not a curated record